GGAAUUCACUAGUGAUUCAGGCCUAACACAUGCAAGUCGAGCGGUAGAGAGAAGCUUGCUUCUCUUGAGAGCGGCGGACGGGUGAGUAAAGCCUAGGAAUCUGCCUGGUAGUGGGGGAUAACGUUCGGAAACGGACGCUAAUACCGCAUGCGUCCUACGGGAGAAAGCAGGGGACCUUCGGGCCUUGCGCUAUCAGAUGAGCCUAGGUCGGAUUAGCUAGUUAGUGAGGUAAUGGCUCACCAAGGCGACGAUCCGUAACUGGUCUGAGAGGAUGAUCAGUCACACUGGAACUGAGACACGGUCCAGACUCCUACGGGAGGCAGCAGUGGGGAAUAUUGGACAAUGGGCGAAAGCCUGAUCC
This 361-nucleotide ribosomal RNA is filed under the name uncultured bacterium. RNAcentral describes it as "bacterial SSU rRNA". It matches the Rfam family "Bacterial small subunit ribosomal RNA", at positions 43 to 389 of the family's 1533-position model. The record is from RNAcentral.